CCUACGGGAGGCAGCAGUGGGGAAUAUUGCGCAAUGGGCGAAAGCCUGACCCAGCGACGCCGCGUGAGGGAUGAAGGUCUUCGGAUCGGUAACCUCUGUUAGCAGGGAAGAACGGACACUGUGCUAAUCAGCAGUGAAUUGACGGUACCUGCAAAGGAAGCCCCGGCUAACUCCGUCCCAGCAGCCGCGGUAAUUCGGAGGGUGCGAGCGUUAAUCGGAAUUACUGGGCGUAAAGCGCUCGUGAGCGGGAUGUCAAGGCUAGGGUGAAAUCCCCGCGCUCAACUUGGGAACUGCCUUUGAAACUGGCAAACUUGAGUGUGUGAGAGGAUAGUGGAAGUCGAGGUGUAGGGGUGAAAUGCGUAGAUAUCUGGAGGAACAUCAGUGGCGAAGGCGACUAUCUGGCACAUAACUGACGCUGAGGAGCGAAAGCGUGGGUAGCAAACAGGAUUAGAUACCCGUGUAGUC
Molecule: ribosomal RNA, 465 nt
Filed under: uncultured bacterium
Lineage: Bacteria
Description: partial 16S ribosomal RNA
Rfam family: Bacterial small subunit ribosomal RNA
Source: RNAcentral